AAAGAAGAACGUGGGUGAGAGUAACUGUUCACCCAGUGACGGUAUUUAACCAGAAAGCCACGGCUAACUACGUGCCAGCAGCCGCGGUAAUACGUAGGUGGCAAGCGUUAUCCGGAUUUAUUGGGCGUAAAGCGAGCGCAGGCGGUCUUUUAAGUCUAAUGUGAAAGCCUUCGGCUCAACCGAAGAAGUGCAUUGGAAACUGGGAGACUUGAGUGCAGAAGAGGACAGUGGAACUCCAUGUGUAGCGGUGAAAUGCGUAGAUAUAUGGAAGAACACCAGUGGCGAAGGCGGCUGUCUGGUCUGUAACUGACGCUGAGGCUCGAAAGCAUGGGUAGCGAACAGGAUUAGAUACCCUGGUAGUCCAUGCCGUAAACGAUGAUUACUAAGUGUUGGAGGGUUUCCGCCCUUCAGUGCUGCAGCUAACGCAUUAAGUAAUCCGCCUGGGGAGUACGACCGCAAGGUUGAAACUCAAAAGAAUUGACGGGGGCCCGCACAAGCGGUGGAGCAUGUGGUUUAAUUCGAAGCUACGCGAAGAACCUUACCAGGUCUUGACAUCUUCUGCCAACCUAAGAGAUUAGGCGUUCCCUUCGGGGACAGAAUGACAGGUGGUGCAUGGUUGUCGUCAGCUCGUGUCGUGAGAUGUUGGGUUAAGUCCCGCAACGAGCGCAACCCUUAUUACUAGUUGCCAGCAUUCAGUUGGGCACUCUAGUGAGACUGCCGGUGACAAACCGGAGGAAGGUGGGGACGACGUCAAAUCAUCAUGCCCCUUAUGACCUGGGCUACACACGUGCUACAAUGGAUGGUACAACGAGUCGCGAAACCGCGAGGUUUAGCUAAUCUCUUAAAACCAUUCUCAGUUCGGACUGUAGGCUGCAACUCGCYUACACGAAGUCGGAAUCGCUAGUAAUCGCGGAUCAGCAUGCCGCGGUGAAUACGUUCCCGGGCCUUGUACACACCGCCCGUCACACCAUG
RNAcentral lists this ribosomal RNA (972 nucleotides) under Pediococcus acidilactici. RNAcentral describes it as "bacterial SSU rRNA". It matches the Rfam family "Bacterial small subunit ribosomal RNA", at positions 441 to 1406 of the family's 1533-position model. Lineage: Bacteria; Bacillati; Bacillota; Bacilli; Lactobacillales; Lactobacillaceae. The record is from RNAcentral.